GUUUUAUUCACCAAUGGUCACAUUCGAUUUGAUUCUUAAUUUGAAGAAGGGUGGUCGCAGGGCAUUGAGGAUAUGGUACUCUUGCACUAUAUUUCCCCUACUUUGGGGCAUGCUGUGACGACAACUGCACAUGAAUUGGCCUUUCUGCUGAGGUAUCUAUUUGCUGUUGGACUAAAUAUAAGAGAACGGGGCGCAACUAUGGAAGAUAUUCUAUUCGAUCUCUCUUUUUCUGAGUCGAUGUUAGAGAAUGGGUCCUAGGAAUGACAAUAUUGUAAGGUUGCACCAAAACUGUGAAUGAGUUUUACCCCUCCGAGCUUGCUUUAGAAUUAAUUGAGGUGGGUUUAUUUUCUUAAACAACAGCUUUAAUAUAAUCUGAAUCUUCAGAGAGAGAAUUGCAGAGCAAUAUUUCUUUCAA
Long non-coding RNA from Macadamia integrifolia, 415 nucleotides. RefSeq lists it as uncharacterized. NCBI's taxonomy places the organism in Eukaryota, Viridiplantae, Streptophyta, Magnoliopsida, Proteales, Proteaceae. The transcript has 2 exons. The record is from RefSeq and is a predicted model, not a curated record.